Molecule: ribosomal RNA, 433 nt
Filed under: uncultured bacterium
Lineage: Bacteria
Description: partial 16S ribosomal RNA
Rfam family: Bacterial small subunit ribosomal RNA
Source: RNAcentral
AACGAACGCUGGCGGCAUGCCUAACACAUGCAAGUCGAACGAGACCUUCGUGUCUAUUGGCGCAGGGGUGCUUGACGCGUGGGAACCUGCCUGUAGGUUCGGAAUAACUCAGAUAAGUUUGAGCUAAUACCGGAUGAUGUCUUCGGACCAAAGAUUUAUCGCCUUUAGAUGGGCCCGCGUUGGAUUAGAUAGUUGGUGGGGUAAUGGCAUACCAAGGCGUCGAUGCAUGGCUGGUAGGUGAGGAUGCCCAGCCAGACUGGGACUGAGACCCGGACCAGAACCGUACGGGAGGCAGCAGAGGAGAAUACUAGACGCUGGGCCAAAGCGUGAUCAAGCAAUGCCGGGUGAGACAUGAAGGCCUUAGGGUUGUAAAGCUCUUUUACACGAGAUGAGAAUGACAGUAACGGGAGAAUAAGCUCCGGCUAACUCCGUG